RNAcentral lists this transfer RNA (70 nucleotides) under Dipodomys ordii (Ord's kangaroo rat). It matches the Rfam family "tRNA". Rfam says of the family: Transfer RNA (tRNA) molecules are approximately 80 nucleotides in length. Lineage: Eukaryota; Metazoa; Chordata; Mammalia; Rodentia; Heteromyidae. The record is from Rfam by way of RNAcentral.
GGGAAUGUGGCUUAGUGGUAGAGUGCUUGCCUAGCACGCAUGAAGCCCUGGGUUCAAUUCCUCAGUACCU